RNAcentral lists this transfer RNA (78 nucleotides) under Salmonella phage FSL SP-076. Its description in RNAcentral is "tRNA-Met". The record is from RNAcentral. Lineage: Duplodnaviria; Heunggongvirae; Uroviricota; Caudoviricetes; Schitoviridae.
UAGGGUGUACCAAUGGGAGUAUGGUGAAAUCGGUAGACACAAGGGAUUUAAAAUCCCUCGGCUUAUAGCUGUACGAGU